RNAcentral lists this ribosomal RNA (505 nucleotides) under uncultured bacterium. Its description in RNAcentral is "bacterial SSU rRNA". It matches the Rfam family "Bacterial small subunit ribosomal RNA", at positions 29 to 514 of the family's 1533-position model. The record is from RNAcentral.
AGUGAACGCUGGCGGCAGGCCUAACACAUGCAAGUCGAGCGGCAGCGCGUCCGACCACCCUCGGGUGGUCGGAUGGCGGCGAGCGGCGGACGGGUGAGGAAUGCAUCGGAAUCUGCCUCGUUGUGGGGGAUAACGUAGGGAAACUUACGCUAAUACCGCAUACGACCUACGGGUGAAAGUGGGGGACCUUCGGGCCUCACGCGAUGAGAUGAGCCGAUGCCGGAUUAGCUAGUUGGCGGGGUAAAGGCCCACCAAGGCGACGAUCGAUAGCUGGUCUGAGAGGAUGAUCAGCCACACUGGAACUGAGACACGGUCCAGACUCCUACGGGAGGCAGCAGUAGGGAAUAUUGGACAAUGGGGGCAACCCUGAUCCAGCCAUGCCGCGUGAGUGAAGAAGGCCCUCGGGUUGUAAAGCUCUUUUGUCCGGAAAGAAAAGCAAUCGGUUAAUACCCGGUUGUUCUGACGGUACCGGAAGAAUAAGCACCGGCUAACUUCGUGCCAGCAG